This 875-nucleotide ribosomal RNA is filed under the name Hongkongmyces brunneosporus. RNAcentral describes it as "Hongkongmyces sp. DB-2020a partial large subunit ribosomal RNA". It matches the Rfam family "Eukaryotic large subunit ribosomal RNA", at positions 84 to 978 of the family's 3401-position model. Lineage: Eukaryota; Fungi; Ascomycota; Dothideomycetes; Pleosporales; Lindgomycetaceae. The record is from RNAcentral.
UAACGGCGAGUGAAGCGGCAACAGCUCAAAUUUGAAAUCUGGCUCCUUCGGGGUCCGAGUUGUAAUUUGUAGAGGGUGCUUUGGCGUCGGCCAUGGUCUAAGUUCCUUGGAACAGGACGUCACAGAGGGUGAGAAUCCCGUACGUGGCCGCUGGCCUUCGCCAUGUAAAGCCCCUUCGACGAGUCGAGUUGUUUGGGAAUGCAGCUCUAAAUGGGAGGUAAAUUUCUUCUAAAGCUAAAUAUUGGCCAGAGACCGAUAGCGCACAAGUAGAGUGAUCGAAAGAUGAAAAGCACUUUGGAAAGAGAGUCAAAAAGCACGUGAAAUUGUUGAAAGGGAAGCGCUUGCAGCCAGACUUGCCCGUAGUUGCUCAUCCAGGUUUCGGCCUGGUGCACUCUUCUGCGGGCAGGCCAGCAUCAGUCCAGGCGGUCGGAUAAAGGUCCCGGGAAUGUGGCUCUCUUCGGGGAGUGUUAUAGCCCGGGGCGCAAUGCGGCCAGCUUGGACUGAGGUCCGCGCAUCUGCUAGGAUGCUGGCGUAAUGGCUGUAAGCGGCCCGUCUUGAAACACGGACCAAGGAGUCUAACAUCUAUGCGAGUGUUUGGGUGUCAAGCCCGAGCGCGCAAUGAAAGUGAACGGAGGUGGGAACCCGCAAGGGCGCACCAUCGACCGAUCCUGAUGUCUUCGGAUGGAUUUGAGUAAGAGCAUAGCUGUUGGGACCCGAAAGAUGGUGAACUAUGCCUGAAUAGGGUGAAGCCAGAGGAAACUCUGGUGGAGGCUCGCAGCGGUUCUGACGUGCAAAUCGAUCGUCAAAUUUGGGCAUAGGGGCGAAAGACUAAUCGAACUAUCUAAUAGCUGGUUCCUGCCGAAGUUCCCUCAGGA